GGGUGCGUAGCUCAGUGGGAGAGCACUACGUUGACAUCGUAGGGGUCGCUGGUUCAAUCCCAGCCGCGCCCACCA
This 75-nucleotide transfer RNA is filed under the name Defluviicoccus vanus. Its description in RNAcentral is "tRNA-Val". It matches the Rfam family "tRNA". From Rfam's summary of the family: Transfer RNA (tRNA) molecules are approximately 80 nucleotides in length. Their secondary structure includes four short double-helical elements and three loops (D, anti-codon, and T loops). The record is from RNAcentral. Lineage: Bacteria; Pseudomonadati; Pseudomonadota; Alphaproteobacteria; Rhodospirillales; Rhodospirillaceae.